AAUCAACGCUGGCGGCGUGCCUCAGACAUGCAAGUCGAACGCGAAAGCCCUUCGGGGCAAGUAGAGUGGCGCACGGGUGAGUAACACGUAGGUAAUCUACCUUUGGAUGGGGAAUAACAACCGGAAACGGUUGCUAAUACCGCAUAAUGCAGCGGCACCUAAUGGUGACAGUAGUUAAAGCGGGGGAUCGCAAGACCUCGCGUCUGAAGAGGAGCCUGCGGCAGAUUAGCUAGUUGGUAGGGUAACGGCUUACCAAGGCGAUGAUCUGUAGCCGGCCUAAGAGGGCGGUCGGCCACACUGACACUGACAUACGGGUCAGACUCCUACGGGAGGCAGCAGUCGGGAAUUUGGGCAAUGGGCGAAAGCCUGACCCAGCAACGCCGCGUGAAGGAUGAAAUCCCUCGGGAUGUAAACUCCGCAAGAACGGGAAGAAUAAGUAAGAGUUAAUAUCUCUUACGAUGACGGUACCGUUUGUAAGCUCCGGCUAACUCCGUGCCAGCAGCCGCGGU
RNAcentral lists this ribosomal RNA (509 nucleotides) under uncultured bacterium. RNAcentral's name for it is "bacterial SSU rRNA". It matches the Rfam family "Bacterial small subunit ribosomal RNA", at positions 32 to 521 of the family's 1533-position model. The record is from RNAcentral.